This 253-nucleotide ribosomal RNA is filed under the name uncultured bacterium. RNAcentral describes it as "partial 16S ribosomal RNA". It matches the Rfam family "Bacterial small subunit ribosomal RNA", at positions 524 to 776 of the family's 1533-position model. The record is from RNAcentral.
AACGUAGGAGACAAACGUUAUCCGGAAUUACUGGGCGUAAAGCGUGCGCAGGCGGUUUUGUAAGCCAGAUGUGAAAUCCCCGGGCUUAACCUGGGAAUGGCAUUUGGGACUGCAAGGCUGGAGUGCGGCAGAGGAGACUGGAAUUCCUGGUGUAGCAGUGAAAUGCGUAGAUAUCAGGAGGAACACCGAUGGCGAAGGCAGGUCUCUGGGCUGACACUGACGCUCAUGCACGAAAGCGUGGGGAGCAAACAGG